GGACAACCUACCCUCAGGACGGGGAUAAACCCGGGAAACUGGGUAUAAUACCCGAUAGAUCUCGGCUGCUGGAAUGCAUCGAGCUCUAAAGCUCCGGCGCCUGAGGAUGGGUCUGCGGCCUAUCAGGUAGUAGUGGGUGUAGCGUACCUACUAGCCUACGACGGGUACGGGUUGUGAGAGCAAGAGCCCGGAGAUGGAUUCUGAGACACGAAUCCAGGCCCUACGGGGUGCAGCAGGCGCGAAAACUUUACAAUGCCGGCAACGGCGAUAAGGGGACCUCGAGUGCCAGGUUACAAAUCUGGCUGUCGUGAUGCCUAAAAAGCAUUGCAUAGCAAGGGCCGGGCAAGACCGGUGCCAGCCGCCGCGGUAACACCGGCGGCUCGAGUGGUAACCGUUAUUAUUGGGUCUAAAGGGUCUGUAGCCGGCCGGAUAAGUCUCUUGGGAAAUCCAGCAGCUUAACUGUUGGGCUUUCAGGAGAUACUGUCUGGCUCGAGGCCGGGAGAGGUGAGAGGUACUUCAGGGGUAGGGGUGAAAUCUUGUAAUCCUUGAAGGACCACCAGUGGCGAAGGCGUCUCACCAGAACGGACCUGACGGCAAGGGACGAAAGCUAGGGGCACGAACCGGAUUAGAUACCCGGGUAGUCCUAGCCGUAAACGAUACUCGCUAGGUGUCGGCCACGGUGCGACCGUUGUCGGUGCCGUAGGGAAGCCGUGAAGCGAGCCACCUGGGAAGUACGGCCGCAAGGCUGAAACU
RNAcentral lists this ribosomal RNA (753 nucleotides) under uncultured archaeon. RNAcentral's name for it is "bacterial SSU rRNA". It matches the Rfam family "Archaeal small subunit ribosomal RNA", at positions 102 to 856 of the family's 1478-position model. The record is from RNAcentral.